CCUACGGGAGGCUGCAGUGGGGAAUAUUGCGCAAUGGGCGCAAGCCUGACGCAGCGACGCCGCGUGAGGGAUGAAGGUCUUCGGAUCGUAAACCUCUGUCAGCAGGGAAGAACGGUCACUGUGCUAAUCAGCAGUGAAUUGACGGUACCUGCACAGGAAGCACCGGCUAACUCCGUGCCAGCAGCCGCGGUAAUACGGAGGGUGCGAGCGUUAAUCGGAAUUACUGGGCGUAAAGCGCUCGUAGGCGGUAUGUCAAGUCAAGGGUGAAAUCCCCGGGCUUAACGUGGGAACUGCCUUUGAAACGGGCAAACUGGAGUGUGUGAGAGGAGGGUGGAAUUCCAGGUGUAGGGGUGAAAUCCGUAGAUAUCUGGAGGAACAUCGAUGGCGAAGGCGACUAUCUGGCACAUAACUGACGCUGAUGAGCGAAAGCGUGGGUAGCAAACAGGAUUAGAUACCCUGGUAGUC
Molecule: ribosomal RNA, 465 nt
Filed under: uncultured bacterium
Lineage: Bacteria
Description: partial 16S ribosomal RNA
Rfam family: Bacterial small subunit ribosomal RNA
Source: RNAcentral